This 497-nucleotide ribosomal RNA is filed under the name uncultured bacterium. Its description in RNAcentral is "partial 16S ribosomal RNA". It matches the Rfam family "Bacterial small subunit ribosomal RNA", at positions 28 to 507 of the family's 1533-position model. The record is from RNAcentral.
GAUGAACGCUGGCGGCGUGCCUAAUACAUGCAAGUCGAGCGAACGGACGAGAAGCUUGCUCUUCUGAUGUUAGCGGCGGACGGGUGAGUAACACGUGGAUAACCUACCUAUAAGACUGGGAUAACUUCGGGAAACCGGAGCGAAUACCGGAUAAUAUUUUGAACCGCAUGGUUCAAAAGUGAAAGACGGACUUGCUGACACUUAUAGAUGGAUCCGCGCUGCAUUAGCUAGUUGGUAAGGUAACGGCUUACCAAGGCAACGAUGCAUAGCCGACCUGAGGGGGUGAUCGGCCAAACUGGAACUUAGACACAGUCCAGGCUCCUACGGGAGGAAGCAGUAUGGAAUCUUCCGCAAUGGGCGAAAGCCUGACGGAGCAACGCCGCGUGAGUGAUGAGGGUCUUCGCAUCGUAAAACUCUGUUAUUAGUGAAGAACAUUUUUGUAAGUAACUGUGCACAUCUUGUCCGUACCUAAUCAGAGCACCACGGCUAACUACGUG